RNAcentral lists this ribosomal RNA (253 nucleotides) under uncultured bacterium. RNAcentral describes it as "partial 16S ribosomal RNA". It matches the Rfam family "Bacterial small subunit ribosomal RNA", at positions 524 to 776 of the family's 1533-position model. The record is from RNAcentral.
UACGUAGGGUGCAAGCGUUAAUCGGAAUUACUGGGCGUAAAGCGUGCGCAGGCGGUGAUGUAAGACAGAUGUGAAAUCCCCGGGCUCAACCUGGGAACUGCAUUUGUGACUGCAUCGCUGGAGUGCGGCAGAGGGGGAUGGAAUUCCGCGUGUAGCAGUGAAAUGCGUAGAUAUGCAGAGGAACACCGAUGGCGAAGGCAAUCCCCUGGGCCUGCACUGACGCUCAUGCACGAAAGCGUGGGGAGCAAACAGG